AAGCACUCACGCCAAAGUCACAGGCAAAGUCUUCGGCAAACGGCGAAGAAAACAUCUAAACAUCUAAAAUGGCUACACAGAAUAAAAUAAUGCCAAUUUUGAGCCAAUGUGAACACUGCAAACUAUGGUUGAUCUGUCCACCGAGCUGCGGGCAUAAAGUACAUCUAUCUUUGGUAGAAGAGAGGCUUGUGGAAUGCUUGCCAUUUCAAUGUCCCAUAUGCUUAUGUUUUUAACGAAGAAGUCGACAGAUUUCUCGAAGAUUUUUUUGAAGUGAUCGUUGCUAGUUUUUUCCAAUAAAAUAAAAAU
Xenia sp. Carnegie-2017 is the source of this 306-nucleotide long non-coding RNA. RefSeq lists it as uncharacterized. The record is from RefSeq and is a predicted model, not a curated record. The transcript is spliced from 4 exons. NCBI's taxonomy places the organism in Eukaryota, Metazoa, Cnidaria, Anthozoa, Malacalcyonacea, Xeniidae.